RNAcentral lists this ribosomal RNA (484 nucleotides) under uncultured bacterium. Its description in RNAcentral is "partial 16S ribosomal RNA". It matches the Rfam family "Bacterial small subunit ribosomal RNA", at positions 30 to 507 of the family's 1533-position model. The record is from RNAcentral.
AUUGAACGCUGGCGGCAUGCUUUACACAUGCGAGUCGAACGGCAGCACGGGGGCAGCCCUGGUGGCGAGUGGCGAACGGGUGAGUAAUACAUCGGAACGUGCCCGGUCGUGGGGGAUAACGUAGCGAAAGUUACGCUAAUACCGCAUACGAUCUGAGGAUGAAAGCGGGGGACCUUCGGUCCUCGCGCGAUCGGAGCGGCCGAUGUCAGAUUAGGUAGUUGGUGGGGUAAAGGCCUACCAAGCCGACGAUCUGUAGCUGGUCUGAGAGGACGACCAGCCACACUGGGACUGAGACACGGCCCAGACUCCUACGGGAGGCAGCAGUGGGGAAUUUUGGACAAUGGGCGCAAGCCUGAUCCAGCCAUUCCGCGUGCAGGACGAAGGCCUUCGGGUUGUAAACUGCUUUUGUACGGAACGAAAAGGCUCUGGCUAAUACCUGGGGCUCAUGACGGUACCGUAAGAAUAAGCACCGGCUAACUACGUG